GGUCCAAUACCAUGUCGCUGGUAGCCAGAUAGCAAUGACUACCGCCGACGCUAUGGUUGGACCGGAAUCAAUCUCACAAAAUUUGCAUUUUGAUGGGAACCUGUGGAUCGAUUUACUACCGUUCGUCCACGGAGCCAGUUUAUGCGAUUACAUUU
Molecule: small nucleolar RNA, 155 nt
Organism: Rhododendron vialii
Lineage: Eukaryota; Viridiplantae; Streptophyta; Magnoliopsida; Ericales; Ericaceae
Product: small nucleolar RNA snoR2/U65
Exons: 1
Source: RefSeq, a predicted model, not a curated record